GAUUAGAGCCUCAUGGUGUAAUGGGCCAGUGGUGGUGCUUGUUACUUACAGGUCUAAAGUGUUUAAGUGUUGUAGCAGAUUAGAGCCUCAUGGUGUAAUGGGCCAGUGGUGGUGCUUGUUACUUACAGGUCUAAAGUGUUUAAGUGUUGUAGCAGAUUAGAGCCUCAUGGUGUAAUGGGCCAGUGGUGGUGCUUGUUACUUACAGGCCUAAAGUGUUUAAGUGUUGUAGCAGAUUAGAGCCUCAUGGUGUAAUGGGAAAUUGGUGGUGCUAGUUACUUACAGGCCUAAAGUGUUUAAGUGUUGUAGCAGAAGAGAGAGACGGUGUACUGGGCCAGUGAUGCGGCCAGUUUCAAGGAGGCCUACAGGACAAUGUAUUUGCUUCAGUAUAUGUUUAUACUACUGAUACCACUAUAUCAGAAAACGUCUAGUCACACUGUACUCUCACAAACUCUAGUAACAUAUACUGUAUUAAUAAAGAAGUAAAACAGAUAUAGUUUAGUACAUUGUAUGUUAUAAACCAUAACUUAACACACAUUUCUCUGUACGUGAAUGUAUCAUGAAUACAGAAAGUCACUUACGUGACCAUUUAUGAAGCUAAUACACUUACUUAUUACAGUUACCAUAUUAUGUAGAAAGCAGAACAUAUCUCUAUGUUCAUAUGAGAGGAUAUUUGUAAAUAGACCAUUUGCUGAUAUAUAAGUAUCAGUAGAAUCCGCUAUGAAAUACAAUACAUAUUUGAAAAUAUUGUAAGGGAAGAUUUACACACCUGAUAUGUGACGGUGUAGUAACGUAUGACAUACACUCCUGCU
Molecule: long non-coding RNA, 809 nt
Organism: Haliotis rubra (blacklip abalone)
Lineage: Eukaryota; Metazoa; Mollusca; Gastropoda; Lepetellida; Haliotidae
Exons: 2
Source: RefSeq, a predicted model, not a curated record